RNAcentral lists this long non-coding RNA (1325 nucleotides) under Homo sapiens (human). RNAcentral describes it as "HSALNT0137062". The record is from RNAcentral. Lineage: Eukaryota; Metazoa; Chordata; Mammalia; Primates; Hominidae.
GUUCCUCUCUUCUGCUUCUUUGCAAUUUCAGUUUCAGCUGCAAAUGCCAAAUCACUGUGUAAUAAAAUCUGAACUCCUGUUGUGUUGUUUGUGGUCUGGGUGUAAACAAGAAUUCGUGGAAAUCCCCAGAGCACGCUUCGUAGGAUGUACAGCCUAAUUCUCUAGAUGGAAGAGGCUCAGUAAAUUAACCAAGUGCUCGAAUUCUUUGAUUCUUCCACGAAGAGAAUGAGCCUGUCUUUUUCUUUCUCUCUAAGGAGGCCAUAACCUUCCCCUGUGACAGGCAAGCCAAAGUUUGCACUCUCAGAGAAACUUCUGGUCACUGGCCCACAUUCACAACCAAAUUGCAGCUGAGUCAGAACAGCUGUGCUGAUGGCUGGGACUCUCUCAGGACAGCUUGGAAGGCCCGACCUGGCAGCUCUCUGGGCCCACCGGAGCUCUCCUGCCUUGUCUUGUACCUGCCUCUCUGUGCUCCAGCCACACUGCCAUCUCUCCGUUUCUCAAAUGCUACGUAAAGCCGCAUUCUCUUCCCACAGAUAGAAAAUGCUGUGCUCGCCCUUGAAAAGCCUCUCUCUCCAAUGAAUUCCCACUCAUUCCUCAAUUUUCAGUUGAAGCAUCAUUCAUUCCUUUGGGAAACCUUUUCUAGCCCCUAACACCCUGCAUUGGUCCUAACAUACCUUGGCAUGACUGCUGUAGCUCUGUAUCUGCGUGGGUACUGACGGAUGUGACUCCAGGAGGGAGGGUGUGCAGCCUGUGGCUCACCACGGUAUCCCCAGCACCUGUCUCUCUGCUUGCCUAUUAACUUCCUAAAUUAGUGCAUUUUCCCCUGUCAUUUAAAAAAAAACUUUAAUUUUUUCAUUUGUAUAUAUCGACAGAGCACAAGUACAGAUUUCUUGCAUGCCUAUGUUGUAUUGUGGUAAAGUCUGGGCUUCUAUGUGUACCCAUCACUCAAAUAGUAAACAUUGUGCCUGAGAGGUAAUUUUUCAGCCCUCACCCCCCUCCACUCUCCCACCUUUUGGAGUCUCCAAUGUCUAUUAUUCCACUCCAUAUGUCCACAUGUACCCAUUGUUUAGCUCCCACUUGUGAGUGAGAACAUGCGGUAUUUGACCUCCUCUUUCUGAGUUAUUUCACUUAGGAUAGUGGCUCCCAGUUCCAUCUAUGUUGCUGCAAAAAAACAUGAUUUCAGUCUUUUUUAUGCCUGCAUGGUAUUUCCAUGGUGUACAUGUACCAUAUUUUUUUUAAUCCAAUCCUCCUUUGAUGGACACUUAGGCUGACUCCAUAUUUUUGCUAUUGUGUAUAGUGCCACGAUCAACAUACAAGUGCAGGUG